CAGGUGGAGCCUGCGGUUUAAUCGGACUCAACGCCGGGAAGCUCACCGGAUAAGACAGCGGAAUGAUAGCCGGGCUGAAGACUCUGCUUGACUAGCUGAGAGGAGGUGCAUGGCCGUCGUCAGUUCGUACUGUGAAGCAUCCUGUUAAGUCAGGCAACGAGCGAGACCCACGCCAACAGUUGCCAGCAUGUCCUCCGGGAUGGUGGGGACACUGUUGGGACCGCCUCUGCUAAAGAGGAGGAAGGAAUGGGCAACGGUAGGUCAGCAUGCCCCGAAUUAUCCGGGCUACACGCGGGCUACAAUGGUCAGGACAAUGGGCAUCAACACCGAAAGGUGAAGGCAAUCUCUUAAACCUGUCCUUAGUUCGGAUUGUGGGCUGCAACUCGCCCACAUGAAGCUGGAAUCUGUAGUAAUCGCGUCUCGAAAUGGCGCGGUGAAUAUGUCCCUGCUCCUU
Molecule: ribosomal RNA, 454 nt
Filed under: uncultured Methanolinea sp.
Lineage: Archaea; Methanobacteriati; Methanobacteriota; Methanomicrobia; Methanomicrobiales; Methanoregulaceae
Description: bacterial SSU rRNA
Rfam family: Archaeal small subunit ribosomal RNA
Source: RNAcentral